GGGGUAUAAAAUGUAGUCAUUCCGACGUACUAACCCGAGUCACGUUCGAGUGUUAUUGUUGUUACUUGGCGAGCAGCAGAGAAGACACAGCUAGAAAAUAGAACUCCACACAAACGUACCUGUAUCUGGUCAAGUGAUAGUUGACUAUGUGCUGAUUAUUAAUCAACGCCUGCACCUUUCUGGCCGAGUCGAUUGGCCGGGCGUGCGGGUGUGUCAGUGAUGAGGAGGAGCAGGUUCCGGUCAAUGAGCGGAAGUGUGUGCUUUCAAAUACAAUGACAGUGUCGCCGUCCAAUGGUGAAAUUGUCAAGCAGCCACUUCCCUCCGACCAGGAGAUAACUACUAGGACAGACGGACAGUACAGAGGAUGAGGAUAGUGACGUCAUCACUUGUCAGCGCUGUCCUCCUCAUGAUGUUGUUCAGCUUUGUGACCCAUUCCUUUGUCUUUCUGGAUAUUGUUACGCUUUCAAACUAACUCCUUUUUAUUGUAAUGAUAUUGUUGCCAGGCUAUGCCGAAUGACCUUAAUACUUUAAGUAACUUGGUAAUAGUUGUAAGAGGUCAUCAUCUUUUUGAUCAUAAUAUGGCGGUGAUUCAGGAAUGUCUUAAUCAGUUAAUAGUCCGUCGACACACUAGUAGUAAGAUUCUCUAGCUGAGUAACACCCUUAUAAGGUCACCACGGGUCACUGAAGGGCCAUAACAUGAUCUGUUGGAUUGAUCUGACUCUCUUUAAUAGAAAUGUAUUAAUUUGAUAUCUUAACAUGAACCGUUAUGAGUAAUAUUCAGGAUGACAAACAUUCAAGAAAAACAUCAUACCGCCUGUCUUAUCUGUUUAACUGUUUAACUCGAUUUAAAUGAUAUGGCAACAACCAAUCCGAUACUCCCGUUCUUUUCAGAUUUGUUAUAUUUAUUUUGUCCGUAUGACGUCACUGUCCAAAACGUGUCUCCUGACGCCGGGGUAGUAUCUGAGCUUAGACAAUGAUAUGACACUCGUGUAGACAAUGGGAGUAUUUGAAAUGUUCGUGAUAUUGGUGAUAAGAUAUUAGUGCUGUAUGUGGGUACUAUGUUAAGUUAUCGGAUCUCCUAUAUGGACAAAUGCUGUGUUUUCUAUUCUUUUAAGACAUUAUGUAGGUUGGCAUUCAAGAAUGUGUGAAUGUACAACAAAAUCAUCAAACAAUAUCCUGUUUAUAGACUGCGCUACUGUCGUACAAGUUAUAAUUUUACAGUCGUAUAAGGGCAUUAAAUGGUUAGAAUUAAUCAAAAAGGAGAGCAUCGUAUUGAACACCUUGGGCUAGCGAUGAGAUAAGCCAAUGUUUUUCAAAAUAAAAGUCGAUUUAGUAUACAUUGUACACAAUUUCAAUAAGAUUUCAUGCUAUCGAUUGCAUAUUUAUCAAAUAAGCAAUAACGCUAUUUUUCUAUGAAUUCCUACAUGUAUAUGUGAUAUUUUUAUUUUUAACAUUUGCUAAUAAAUAUAUCCUUCAAACUGAAA
Long non-coding RNA from Pecten maximus, 1484 nucleotides. RefSeq lists it as uncharacterized. NCBI's taxonomy places the organism in Eukaryota, Metazoa, Mollusca, Bivalvia, Pectinida, Pectinidae. The transcript has 3 exons. The record is from RefSeq and is a predicted model, not a curated record.